Molecule: long non-coding RNA, 1481 nt
Organism: Eriocheir sinensis (Chinese mitten crab)
Lineage: Eukaryota; Metazoa; Arthropoda; Malacostraca; Decapoda; Varunidae
Exons: 7
Source: RefSeq, a predicted model, not a curated record
GCCCUACAUGUAAACAGAGUGGUGUGUGGCUUUAACCAGUCUCCGUAUUCACAGGCCAACCCUAGAGGACCUGCUGGGCAGCGACGCCCUCAGCCCCAACACUGCCUUCCACGCCCUCAAGUGCACGAAAACCUUCCUGCAGAAGUCGGGGCAACUCGACAGUAUCUAACUCCCGCCCAGGUGACAGGACGGCCAACACAACCAACGACUCCUGAUAACAACUACCACUGACGGGGCUCUGGAGGCUGUGGGCCCACAGCCUAACUAGCCCCAUAAAACACCCACGAAGAAGAAGAAGUGGUGUGUGGCUGGCCGCGUGGUCUGUGACACCCUCAUCCCCACCCUGGCCAGGGCGCGGCGCCCCACACAGCAGAACACUUCCUGCCACGACUCCACUCAGGGCCCCACACCAGCCCCAGCCAGGCUCCACACCCUCAGAGACUCGUCUGGAGCCCAGGAAGAAGCUUGUGUCUGAGUACGAGUCGCUGAUGGAAGUGGCGGCGCUGUCAGCCAGAGUCCAGCUGGCCACCUCUCCGGGCCCAUAGUCGUGGGGGGCAUCUUGGCGGAGGGUACUUUAAGGUUCAUGGAGCUCCCGGCUCAAAUUACAAGCAAAAGUACUUGAAGGGCGGGAACUUCAGGCUGCUGAGUACCCCCUUGGCCGAGGGAGGGGACCAGGCCUUCCUCACACCUACUUUACUCAGGUCAACCACAAGAGUCUGGACUUCCAGAUCAAGUACGGGUCCAGCCUGCAGCACCUCCACGGGGUAGUGAGCCAGCUGGAGGCCAGUCUGGCAGCCUCAGCACCCUGCUGGCCCUCGUGGAGCAGCUCACCUACAGGCUGGGCCAGCUGGCGCCAGGGCAGGCCGAGGAGGCGCACCUACCGGCGCUGGAGUCAGACACAGACACACUGACCGGCAAGCAGCAGUUGAUCUCAAAAACCUUGGGCAGAGACUGACACUGGGUGUGGGUGGAGCAGCUGGAUACAUGGACCUUGCUGGGUGUGUGAGUGCCUCCCAAAGAAGAGUUCCCAGCGCCACGGCUCCCAAGACCUCCACCAAGCUGGUCAUUGGACACAGAUCGCGGCAGGUGGCAAAAGUGGACGUGGCUGGCGAGUAGUGCGGACUUUGUGCCCCAUCAGGACGUCAUUGUCUCCAGUCGUGUGGUCCAGUGAGUCACCGCUCUACCGCACGACAGUGACCCCAAGGAAGUCCCGGUCCACAGCAGGGAUGUGGCCACCCCUGGCCACAGCCCCAAGUGUUCCCUGGUGGGCCAUACUCACUGAGCUCCUCCUCCUCCUCCUCCUCACCCUGCUGCCGUGGAAGGUGAGGGAGAGAGAGGGACUUUGAUCACUGUCUUCAACACCAAUAAUCAUAAUCUAUUUACCAAUGAGCUACAUGAAAUAAACCAGGAGGAACUACUAAAUCUAGAAAAUUCAAAUGAUAAUUUUAAUCUUUUCUAUGAAAGAGUUUAUGAAUGUUACA